Gopherus evgoodei (Goodes thornscrub tortoise) is the source of this 447-nucleotide long non-coding RNA. RefSeq lists it as uncharacterized. The transcript has 2 exons. Lineage: Eukaryota; Metazoa; Chordata; Testudines; Testudinidae. The record is from RefSeq and is a predicted model, not a curated record.
AGCCAGAGGGGGAACAUGCUGCUGCUCCUGGGAGCUACUGGAGUGAAAAUGUAUGAAAUAUUGAAAAUGUGCAGUUUACUACUACAAAGAUGGGACUAUAGCAGGCUGGCAUCUCUACAAGGGCAGAAUUAAGGUAAUUUGUCUACCAUUGGUGUGAAUGUUUAUACUUACAAAUGUUAUAGCUUCUUGUACAUCUAGUCUAAAUUUAGAAUGAGUCUGACUUUAUAUACCUACUUCUAUACCAUAUUCUUUUAAGAAUUGUUACCUUUAAAUUAUUGACAUGUACCAUUAAUCUUAACUUCACUUUGAAGUAUUUUGUCCAGGAAUUUUACAUAGUUUACUGCUGUUCCCCACCCACUGCACAAAAUUCAGGAAUAUUUGCUAUGGAUAUGAACAGGCAGCAAAACAAUUACAAAGCAUUUUGUGAUCUUAAAAUUCUUUACUUAC